RNAcentral lists this ribosomal RNA (445 nucleotides) under uncultured bacterium. RNAcentral describes it as "bacterial SSU rRNA". It matches the Rfam family "Bacterial small subunit ribosomal RNA", at positions 331 to 793 of the family's 1533-position model. The record is from RNAcentral.
CCAGACUCCUACGGGAGGCAGCAGUGGGGGAUAUUGCACAAUGGGGGAAACCCUGAUGCAGCGACGCCGCGUGAGUGAAGAAGUAUUUCGGUAUGUAAAGCUCUGUCAGCAGGGAAGAAAAUGACAGUACCUGACCAAGAAGCCCCGGCUAACUACGUGCCAGCAGCCGCGGUAAUACGUAGGGGGCAAGCGUUAUCCGGAUUUACUGGGUGUAAAGGGAGCGUAGACGGUUAUGUAAGUCUGGAGUGAAAGCCCGGGGCCCAACCCCGGGACUGCUUUGGAAACUGUGUAACUGGAGUACAGGAGGGGCAGGUGGAAUUCCUGGUGUAGCGGUGAAAUGCGUAGAUAUUAGGAGGAACACCAGUGGCGAAGGCGACUUUCUGGACGAUAACUGACGUUGAGGCACGAAAGUGUGGGGAGCAAACAGGAUUAGAUACCCCCGUAC